Molecule: ribosomal RNA, 420 nt
Filed under: uncultured bacterium
Lineage: Bacteria
Description: bacterial SSU rRNA
Rfam family: Bacterial small subunit ribosomal RNA
Source: RNAcentral
GAGGAAUAUUGGUCAAUGGGCGAGAGCCUGAACCAGCCAAAUCGCGUGAAGGAAGACUGCCUUAUGGGUUGUAAACUUCUUUUAUCAGGGAAUAAAAAGAGUUACGAGUAACUUAUUGCAUGUACCUGAUGAAUAAGCAUCGGCUAACUCCGUGCCAGCAGCCGCGGUAAUACGGAGGAUGCGAGCGUUAUCCGGAUUUAUUGGGUUUAAAGGGUGCGCAGGCGGGCUUUUAAGUCAGCGGUGAAAUCCCAACGCUUAACGUUGGAACUGCCGUUGAAACUGGGAGUCUUGAGUAUAGAUGAAGUAGGCGGAAUUCGUUGUGUAGCGGUGACAUGCUUAGAUAUAACGAGGAACUCCGAUUGCGUAGGCAGCUUACUAAGCUAUAACUGACGCUCAAGCACGAAAGCGUGGGGAUCAAAC